Molecule: ribosomal RNA, 2434 nt
Filed under: human gut metagenome
Description: bacterial LSU rRNA
Rfam family: Bacterial large subunit ribosomal RNA
Source: RNAcentral
AGCGUACACGGUGGAUGCCCUGGCAGUCAGAGGCGAUGAAGGACGUGCUAAUCUGCGAUAAGCGUCGGUAAGGUGAUAUGAACCGUUAUAACCGGCGAUUUCCGAAUGGGGAAACCCAGUGUGAUUCGUCACACUAUCAUUAACUGAAUCCAUAGGUUAAUGAGGCGAACCGGGGGAACUGAAACAUCUAAGUACCCCGAGGAAAAGAAAUCAACCGAGAUUCCCCCAGUAGCGGCGAGCGAACGGGGAGCAGCCCAGAGCCUGAAUCAGUGUGUGUGUUAGUGGAAGCGUCUGGAAAGGCGCGCGAUACAGGGUGACAGCCCCGUACACAAAAAUGCACAUACUGUGAGCUCGAUGAGUAGGGCGGGACACGUGGUAUCCUGUCUGAAUAUGGGGGGACCAUCCUCCAAGGCUAAAUACUCCUGACUGACCGAUAGUGAACCAGUACCGUGAGGGAAAGGCGAAAAGAACCCCGGCGAGGGGAGUGAAAAAGAACCUGAAACCGUGUACGUACAAGCAGUGGGAGCACAGGGCAAUCUGUGUGACUGCGUACCUUUUGUAUAAUGGGUCAGCGACUUAUAUUCUGUAGCAAGGUUAACCGAAUAGGGGAGCCGAAGGGAAACCGAGUCUUAACUGGGCGUUAAGUUGCAGGGUAUAGACCCGAAACCCGGUGAUCUAGCCAUGGGCAGGUUGAAGGUUGGGUAACACUAACUGGAGGACCGAACCGACUAAUGUUGAAAAAUUAGCGGAUGACUUGUGGCUGGGGGUGAAAGGCCAAUCAAACCGGGAGAUAGCUGGUUCUCCCCGAAAGCUAUUUAGGUAGCGCCUCGUGAAUUCAUCUCCGGGGGUAGAGCACUGUUUCGGCAAGGGGGUCAUCCCGACUUACCAACCCGAUGCAAACUGCGAAUACCGGAGAAUGUUAUCACGGGAGACACACGGCGGGUGCUAACGUCCGUCGUGAAGAGGGAAACAACCCAGACCGCCAGCUAAGGUCCCAAAGUCAUGGUUAAGUGGGAAACGAUGUGGGAAGGCCCAGACAGCCAGGAUGUUGGCUUAGAAGCAGCCAUCAUUUAAAGAAAGCGUAAUAGCUCACUGGUCGAGUCGGCCUGCGCGGAAGAUGUAACGGGGCUAAACCAUGCACCGAAGCUGCGGCAGCGACGCUGAUGCGUUGUUGGGUAGGGGAGCGUUCUGUAAGCCUGCGAAGGUGUGCUGUGAGGCAUGCUGGAGGUAUCAGAAGUGCGAAUGCUGACAUAAGUAACGAUAAAGCGGGUGAAAAGCCCGCUCGCCGGAAGACCAAGGGUUCCUGUCCAACGUUAAUCGGGGCAGGGUGAGUCGACCCCUAAGGCGAGGCCGAAAGGCGUAGUCGAUGGGAAACAGGUUAAUAUUCCUGUACUUGGUGUUACUGCGAAGGGGGGACGGAGAAGGCUAUGUUGGCCGGGCGACGGUUGUCCCGGUUUAAGCGUGUAGGCUGGUUUUCCAGGCAAAUCCGGAAAAUCAAGGCUGAGGCGUGAUGACGAGGCACUACGGUGCUGAAGCAACAAAUGCCCUGCUUCCAGGAAAAGCCUCUAAGCAUCAGGUAACAUCAAAUCGUACCCCAAACCGACACAGGUGGUCAGGUAGAGAAUACCAAGGCGCUUGAGAGAACUCGGGUGAAGGAACUAGGCAAAAUGGUGCCGUAACUUCGGGAGAAGGCACGCUGAUAUGUAGGUGAAGUCCCUCGCGGAUGGAGCUGAAAUCAGUCGAAGAUACCAGCUGGCUGCAACUGUUUAUUAAAAACACAGCACUGUGCAAACACGAAAGUGGACGUAUACGGUGUGACGCCUGCCCGGUGCCGGAAGGUUAAUUGAUGGGGUUAGCGCAAGCGAAGCUCUUGAUCGAAGCCCCGGUAAACGGCGGCCGUAACUAUAACGGUCCUAAGGUAGCGAAAUUCCUUGUCGGGUAAGUUCCGACCUGCACGAAUGGCGUAAUGAUGGCCAGGCUGUCUCCACCCGAGACUCAGUGAAAUUGAACUCGCUGUGAAGAUGCAGUGUACCCGCGGCAAGACGGAAAGACCCCGUGAACCUUUACUAUAGCUUGACACUGAACAUUGAGCCUUGAUGUGUAGGAUAGGUGGGAGGCUUUGAAGUGUGGACGCCAGUCUGCAUGGAGCCGACCUUGAAAUACCACCCUUUAAUGUUUGAUGUUCUAACGUUGACCCGUAAUCCGGGUUGCGGACAGUGUCUGGUGGGUAGUUUGACUGGGGCGGUCUCCUCCUAAAGAGUAACGGAGGAGCACGAAGGUUGGCUAAUCCUGGUCGGACAUCAGGAGGUUAGUGCAAUGGCAUAAGCCAGCUUGACUGCGAGCGUGACGGCGCGAGCAGGUGCGAAAGCAGGUCAUAGUGAUCCGGUGGUUCUGAAUGGAAGGGCCAUCGCUCAACGGAUAAAAGGUACUCCGG